UACGGAGGGUGCGAGCGUUGUCCGGAAUCACUGGGCGUAAAGGGCGCGUAGGCGGCGCGGGUAGUCAUCGGUGAAAGUUCAGGGCUCAACUCUGAAUCGGCCGGUGAUACUCCCGUGCUCGAGCACUGUAGAGGCAGGUGGAAUUCCGGGUGUAGCGGUGGAAUGCGCAGAUAUCGGGAGGAACACCGGUGGCGAAGGCGGUUCUCUGGGCCUGUACUGACGCUGAGGAGCGAAAGCGUGGGGAGCGAACAGG
This 253-nucleotide ribosomal RNA is filed under the name uncultured bacterium. RNAcentral describes it as "partial 16S ribosomal RNA". It matches the Rfam family "Bacterial small subunit ribosomal RNA", at positions 524 to 776 of the family's 1533-position model. The record is from RNAcentral.